GCGAUAACACCGCAAAGUUGUUUCUAACAGAGAGGGAAGAGAAGAAAGAGAAAUAAAAUAAAAUAAAAUAAAAUCAAAACGCGCGCUCGCAUCUCACUCCGCAUUUUCCCUCGUUUUCUAGGAUCUCCACUCUCGUUUUUAUCUGUAGGGCCGUUCCAUUUUCUCGCUUCCCCAAACAGCCUUCCGAAUCCACUAACAAUGAGUAACGACGAGAAGGAUGCAUUUAACCUCCCUGCCGCCGCUGCCGCUCUUAGUGCUUUGGAUCGCGCUGACCUUGUUAAUGCUCUCAAGAAUAAACUUCAAAGCUUAGCUGGACAACACUCGAAUAUUCUUGAUUCACUGUCACCCAUUGUCAGGAAGCGCGUUGAGUUUCUAAUAGAGAUUCAGAGCCAACAUGCUGAGCUGGAAUCAAAGUUUAAAGAGGAGAGAAGGGCAUUAGAAGCUAAAUACCAGAAACUUUAUGAACCACUCUACACAAAGAGAUAUGAGAUUGUGAAUGGUAUAGAAGAUGUUGAAGGAGUUAUAGAUGAAGUUGCAACAAACCAAGAGGGGGAUAAAGCUACAGAAGAGAAAGGAGUGCCUGAGUUCUGGCUCACUGCAAUGGAAACUAAUGACGUAGUGGGUGAGGAGAUAACAGAACGGGAUGAAGGGGCUCUAAAGUUUCUUAAAGAUAUCAAAUGGCAUAGAAUUGAUAAUCCUGAAGGUUUUAAGCUGGAGUUUUACUUUGACAGUAAUCCUUACUUCAAAAAUUCUGUCCUGACAAAGACUUAUCAUAUGAUUGAUGAUGAUGAUCCUAUUUUGGAGAAAACAAUUGGGACCGAGAUUGAAUGGUAUCCUGGAAAAUGCUUAACAAAGAAAGUCCUGAAGAAGAAACCAAGAAAGGGAUCAAAUAAUGUCAAACCCAUCACCAAAAUUGCGAAUUGUGCUAGUUUCUUCAAUUUCUUUAACACUCCUAAUAAGGAAGAUGAUGACCUGGAUGAUGAUGCUGUAAGGUUGAGGACAUCCGUGAUAGAAUGGAACAAGAUUACAAUGUUGGUACUACCAUUCGGGACAAAGUUAUUCCUCACGCUGUAUCAUGGUUUACGGGGGAGGCUGUUGAUGAUGAAUCAAAUGUAGAUGAUGACGAUGAUGAUGAUGACGACGACGACGAUGGUGACGACGACGAAGAAGAUGAAGAUGAGAAUGAUGAGGAUGAGGAGGUUGAUGAAGAAAGAAAAAGGGGCAGGAAGAAGAAGGGUGCAGGGGUAAGAACUAGGGUAAGUCAGCAAAGUGCUCGUGCUCCAGAAUGCAAGCAACAGUAGUAAUAAGUUUUGAAGCAAACUGUGAUUGGACAGUGGCAGUGCAGUAUCAGAAGUGGCCGAGUCGAUGAAAGUUUUGGUGCUUUUCCCCCCUCCUCUCUUUCUUUCUUUCUUGCAUUAUGUGCAUAGGUUUGAUAAUUUUUUUCUUUUACAAUGUUUAUUGUUUUAGUCCUACCAUCUAUAUUGGGCAUCAAACCUUUGGAUUCUAAUUUUACAUAUAUUCUAAACUCCAGAAAGUAUACCAAUGUAUUUGUUUUCAAUUGGUGGUUAUUAUGGUCUAAAAAUCAACGUUUUUAUCUC
Molecule: RNA transcript, 1598 nt
Organism: Manihot esculenta (cassava)
Lineage: Eukaryota; Viridiplantae; Streptophyta; Magnoliopsida; Malpighiales; Euphorbiaceae
Gene name: nucleosome assembly protein 1;2
Exons: 11
Source: RefSeq, a predicted model, not a curated record